GACGAACGCUGGCGGCGUGCUUAACACAUGCAAGUCGAGCGAUGAAGCACCUUCGGGUGUGAAUUAGCGGCGAACGGGUGAGGAACACGUGAAGAAUCUGCCUUCAACUCUGGGAUAACUCCGGGAAACCGGGGCUAAUACCGGAUAUGAGCCUUGAUCGCAUGAUCGGGGCUGGAAAGUUUUUCGGUUGAAGAUGACUUCGCGGCCUAUGAGCUUGUUGGUGAGGUAAUGGCUCACCAAGGCGACGACGGGUAGCCGGCCUGAGAGGGCGACCGGCCACACUGGGACUGAGACACGGCCCAGACUCCUACGGGAGGCAGCAGUGGGGAAUAUUGGGCAAUGGAGGAAACUCUGACCCAGCGACGCCGCGUGAGGGAUGAAGGCCUUCGGGUUGUAAACCUCUUUCAGUAGGGAAGAAGCGAAAGUGACGGUACCUACAGAAGAAGCACCGGCUAACUAUGUGCCAGCAGCCGCCGUAA
Molecule: ribosomal RNA, 479 nt
Filed under: uncultured bacterium
Lineage: Bacteria
Description: partial 16S ribosomal RNA
Rfam family: Bacterial small subunit ribosomal RNA
Source: RNAcentral